AGGCGGUUAGCUCAGAUGGUUAGAGCGCCACGUUGACGUCGUGGAGGUCGUUGGUUCGAUUCCAAUACCGCCUACCA
RNAcentral lists this transfer RNA (77 nucleotides) under Bordetella holmesii 70147. RNAcentral describes it as "tRNA-Val". It matches the Rfam family "tRNA". Rfam says of the family: Transfer RNA (tRNA) molecules are approximately 80 nucleotides in length. The record is from RNAcentral. Lineage: Bacteria; Pseudomonadati; Pseudomonadota; Betaproteobacteria; Burkholderiales; Alcaligenaceae.